This 443-nucleotide ribosomal RNA is filed under the name uncultured bacterium. Its description in RNAcentral is "SSU rRNA". It matches the Rfam family "Bacterial small subunit ribosomal RNA", at positions 26 to 518 of the family's 1533-position model. The record is from RNAcentral.
AGAGCGAACGCUGGCGGCAGGCCUAAAACAUGCAAGUCGAACGGACCCUUCGGGGUUAGUGGCGGACGGGUGAGUAACACGUGGGAACGUGCCUUUUGGUUCAGAACAACUCAGGGAAACUUGAGCUAAUACUGAAUAAGCCCUACGGGGGAAAGAUUUAUCGCCAUUAGAGCGGCCCGCGUUGGAUUAGCUAGUUGGUGAGGUAAAGGCUCACCAAGGCUACGAUCCAUAGCUGGUCUGAGAGGAUGAUCAGCCACACUGGGACUGAGACACGGCCCAGACUCCUACGGGAGGCAGCAGUUAGGAAUCUUGCGCAAUGGGCGAAAGCCUGACGCAGCCAUGCCGCGUGAAUGAUGAAGGUCUUAGGAUUGUAAAUUCUUUCAGUGGGAAGAUAAUGACUGUACCACAGAAGAAGCUCCGGCUAACUUCGUGCCAACAGCCGC